Molecule: non-coding RNA, 224 nt
Filed under: Hominimerdicola alba
Lineage: Bacteria; Bacillati; Bacillota; Clostridia; Eubacteriales; Oscillospiraceae
Description: Ruminococcus albus T-box sequence
Rfam family: T-box leader
About the family: Uncharged tRNA acts as the effector for transcription antitermination of genes in the T-box leader family. T-boxes are found upstream of many aminoacyl-tRNA synthetase genes and some amino acid biosynthetic genes usually in Gram-positive bacteria. The anticodon of a specific tRNA base pairs to a specifier sequence within the T-box motif, and the NCCA acceptor tail of the tRNA base pairs to a conserved bulge in the T-box antiterminator hairpin.
Source: RNAcentral
AAAAAUGCGUAUCAGCAAAAGUACCCGCGUUUGCGUACUACAGAGAGGAGCCGUUCGGUGCAAGGCUUCGUUCGGGCGCGGUGAAGUGCGGCUGACAGCAGGGAGUGAGGAAAGAUGACGAGUAUUCCUCCCCGUUACCCCGCGUUAAGGGGAAACAAGGCUGUGUAAAGAAAUGCACAGCAAAGCGGAGUGGGACCGCGUGUGAGAGAUCAUUCGCCUCCGAA